AUUGAACGCUGGCGGCAGGCCUAACACAUGCAAGUCGAGCGGAUGAAGGGAGCUUGCUCCUGGAUUCAGCGGCGGACGGGUGAGUAAUGCCUAGGAAUCUGCCUGGUAGUGGGGGAUAACGUCCGGAAACGGGCGCUAAUACCGCAUACGUCCUGAGGGAGAAAGUGGGGGAUCUUCGAACCUCACGCUAUCAGAUAAGCCUAGGUCGGAUUAGCUAGUUGGUGGGGUAAAGGCCUACCAAGGCGACGAUCCGUAACUGGUCUGAGAGGAUGAUCUGUCACACUGGAACUGAGACACGGUCCAGACUCCUACGGGAGGCAGCAGUGGGGAAUAUUGGACAAUGGGCGAAAGCCUGAUCCAGCCAUGCCGCGUGUGUGAAGAAGGUCUUCGGAUUGUAAAGCACUUUAAGUUGGGAGGAAGGGCAGUAAGUUAAUACCUUGCUGUUUUGACGUUACCAACAGAAUAAGCACCGGCUAACUUCGUG
This 484-nucleotide ribosomal RNA is filed under the name uncultured bacterium. RNAcentral describes it as "partial 16S ribosomal RNA". It matches the Rfam family "Bacterial small subunit ribosomal RNA", at positions 30 to 507 of the family's 1533-position model. The record is from RNAcentral.